This 407-nucleotide ribosomal RNA is filed under the name Verrucomicrobiota bacterium. Its description in RNAcentral is "Verrucomicrobia bacterium partial 16S ribosomal RNA". It matches the Rfam family "Bacterial small subunit ribosomal RNA", at positions 355 to 776 of the family's 1533-position model. Lineage: Bacteria; Pseudomonadati; Verrucomicrobiota. The record is from RNAcentral.
UGGGGAAUAUUGGACAAUGGAGGAAACUCUGAUCCAGCAAUUCUGUGUGUGUGAAGAAGGUUUUAGGACUGUAAAACACUUUUAGUAGGGAAGAAAAAAAUGACGGUACCUGAAAAACAAGCCACGGCUAACUACGUGCCAGCAGCCGCGGUAAUACGUAGGUGGCGAGCGUUAUCCGGAUUUACUGGGUGUAAAGGGCGUGCAGGCGGGCUGAUAAGUCAGAUGUGAAAUCCCCGAGCUUAACUCGGGAACUGCAUCUGAUACUGUUGGUCUUGAGUGCUGGAGAGGAUAGUGGAAUUCCUAGUGUAGCGGUAAAAUGCGCAGAUAUUAGGAGGAACACCAGUGGCGAAGGCGGCUAUCUGGACAGUAACUGACGCUGAGGCGCGAAAGCGUGGGUAGCAAACAGG